AUUGAACGCUGGCGGAAUGCUUUACACAUGCAAGUCGAACGGCAGCACGGACUUCGGUCUGGUGGCGAGUGGCGAACGGGUGAGUAAUGUAUCGGAACGCGCCCAGUCGUGGGGGAUAACGUAGUGAAAAUUACGCUAAUACCGCAUACGAUCUAUGGAUGAAAGCGGGGGAUCGCAAGACCUCGCGCGAUUGGAGCGGCCGAUAUCAGAUUAGGUAGUUGGUGGGGUAAAGGCACACGAAGCCAACGAACGGUAGAUGGUCUGAGAGGACGACCAGCGCCACUGGAACUGAGACACGGUCCAGACUCCUACGGGAGGCAGCAGUGGGGAAUUUUGGACAAUGGGCGAAAGCCUGAUCCAGCCAUUCGGCGUGCAGGAUGAAGGCCCUCGGGUUGUAAACUGCUUUUGUACAGAACGAAAAGGUUUCUACUAAUACUAGGAGCUCAUGACGGUACUGUAAGAAUAAGCACCGGCUAACUACGUGCCAGCCGCCGCCGUAA
RNAcentral lists this ribosomal RNA (500 nucleotides) under uncultured bacterium. Its description in RNAcentral is "partial 16S ribosomal RNA". It matches the Rfam family "Bacterial small subunit ribosomal RNA", at positions 30 to 523 of the family's 1533-position model. The record is from RNAcentral.